RNAcentral lists this ribosomal RNA (253 nucleotides) under uncultured bacterium. RNAcentral describes it as "partial 16S ribosomal RNA". It matches the Rfam family "Bacterial small subunit ribosomal RNA", at positions 524 to 776 of the family's 1533-position model. The record is from RNAcentral.
UACAGAGGUCUCAAGCGUUGUUCGGAUUCAUUGGGCGUAAAGGGUGCGUAGGCGGCGAGGUAAGUCGGAUGUGAAAUCCCGGGGCUCAACCCCGAAACUGCAUUCGAUACUGCUUUGCUCGAGUACUGGAGAGGAGACUGGAAUUUACGGUGUAGCAGUGAAAUGCGUAGAUAUCGUAAGGAAGACCAGUGGCGAAGGCGAGUCUCUGGACAGUUACUGACGCUGAGGCACGAAGGCCAGGGGAGCAAACGGG